This 117-nucleotide small nucleolar RNA is filed under the name Oryzias melastigma (Indian medaka). RNAcentral describes it as "Small nucleolar RNA SNORA32 (ENSOMEG00000008573.1)". The record is from RNAcentral. Lineage: Eukaryota; Metazoa; Chordata; Actinopteri; Beloniformes; Adrianichthyidae.
UGGUCAUAUACCAAGGCUCUCAGGAUCCUGUGUUCCUGAUCUGCUGUGGAGUUGACCGCAAAGCAAAAAUCAUUCCAGUGGGCUUCUGGAUCUCCAGAAGACCCGCAGGAAACAAGU